UGGAAAACUAAUAUCACUUACUUUUAAAGUAAGAACACUUCUCUUCUUCCUUUAAAAGCAGAUAUGAAGCAUAAGAGAGACUUUGCAGACUUUAACAUAACACACAUAAUUUUUAAAUAUUGAUUUGGUAACCAAGCAGUUCCAGAUGCUGUAAAACUGGGAAGCCAUUGUAAGUUUUGGAAGAUAUUUUAAGUUGAUAAUUUGGAGAGAGAACUUCUCAAUAGUUCGAAAGAUAGACACUUUGGUCAAGGAUACUUAUUUGCGUCAGGGGGGUCAAGAGAUCUCUUAAAAUAAACCAAGAGGAAGAAAUGUUUGCAAUAGGGCUUGGAGAGGAAGAGCAGAAGUAAGGGAUACAUAGGGUGACAGAAUGAACAGACCUGGAGAUGUGUAAGAUUCAAGAUGCAAACAAGAAGAAACACGAUGAUGGAGAUUUCCAGUGAGGUGACCGGAAGAGUCAUGUUUGGAGGAGAAGAUGAAACAUUUGUUUUAGAAAUUGUUUACCUUGAGACACUUGUGGAACUAUCUGAUUGGAAAAGAGUAAUAGAUAUUGGAAUAUGUGUGUCUUAAUUGUGGAAGAUGCUGAGGAAAGAAAUUAAUAUUUGGACCAUUAUAUGCUAGGUGCUUUAACUUCAUUGGAUGAUUUGAUGGUUUGAUUGCGUUGCCAUCAAUCAACACACACACACACACACACACACACGCAUGCACACACACAGACUGGGUGGCUUAAACAAUAGAAAUUUGUUUUCUUACAAUUCUGGAGGCCAGAAACCCAACCAGCAGGGUUGGUUUCUGAUGAGGUCUUGUUUCCUGAUUUGCAGGAGGCCACCCUCUAACUUUGCC
RNAcentral lists this long non-coding RNA (840 nucleotides) under Marmota monax (woodchuck). Lineage: Eukaryota; Metazoa; Chordata; Mammalia; Rodentia; Sciuridae. The record is from RNAcentral.